RNAcentral lists this ribosomal RNA (2955 nucleotides) under Rathayibacter sp. AY1D4. RNAcentral's name for it is "23S ribosomal RNA". It matches the Rfam family "Bacterial large subunit ribosomal RNA". Lineage: Bacteria; Bacillati; Actinomycetota; Actinomycetes; Micrococcales; Microbacteriaceae. The record is from RNAcentral.
GCAAGUUCAUAAGAGCAAACGGUGAAUGCCUUGGCAUCUGGAGCCGAAGAAGGACGUCGUAAUCUGCGAUAAGCCUCGGGGAGCUGAUAAACGAGCUGUGAUCCGAGGAUUUCCGAAUGGGGAAACCCCGCCAGGCCCCUUGUGGUGACCUGGUGACUCCCGCCUGAAUAUAUAGGGCGGGUAGAGGGAACGUGGGGAAGUGAAACAUCUCAGUACCCACAGGAAGAGAAAACAACAGUGAUUCCGUCAGUAGUGGCGAGCGAACGCGGAAGAGGCUAAACCGAGUCAUGUGUGAUACCCGGCAGGGGUUGCAUGGCCGGGGUUGUGGGACUUUUCGUUCCGGUCUGCCGGCCGGUGAACGUUACAGCGCAUCAUAGACGAACAGGUUUGAACGCCUGGCCAGAGCGGGUGCGAGCCCCGUAGUCGAAAUGGUGUUAUGGCGUGAAGAGUAUCCCAAGUAGCACGGGGCCCGAGAAAUCCCGUGUGAAUCUGUCAGGACCACCUGAUAAGCCUAAAUACUCCCAGAUGACCGAUAGCGGACAAGUACCGUGAGGGAAAGGUGAAAAGUACCCCGGGAGGGGAGUGAAAUAGUACCUGAAACCGUUUGCUUACAAACCGUCGGAGCCUCCUUGUAGGGGUGACGGCGUGCCUUUUGAAGAAUGAGCCUGCGAGUUAGUGCUCUGUGGCGAGGUUAACCCGUGUGGGGCAGCCGUAGCGAAAGCGAGUCCGAAUAGGGCGAUUCAGUCGCAGGGUCUAGACCCGAAGCGAAGUGAUCUAUCCAUGGCCAGGUUGAAGCGACGGUAAGACGUCGUGGAGGACCGAACCCACUUCAGUUGAAAAUGGAGGGGAUGAGCUGUGGAUAGGGGUGAAAGGCCAAUCAAACUUCGUGAUAGCUGGUUCUCUCCGAAAUGCAUUUAGGUGCAGCGUUGCGUGUUUCUUGCCGGAGGUAGAGCUACUGGAUGGCCGAUGGGGCCCAAAAGCUUACUGACGUCAGCCAAACUCCGAAUGCCGGUAAGUGAGAGCGCAGCAGUGAGACUGUGGGGGAUAAGCUUCAUAGUCGAGAGGGAAACAACCCAGACCACCAACUAAGGUCCCUAAGCGCGUGCUAAGUGGGAAAGGAUGUGGAGUUGCACAGACAACCAGGAGGUUGGCUUAGAAGCAGCCACCCUUGAAAGAGUGCGUAAUAGCUCACUGGUCAAGUGAUUCCGCGCCGACAAUGUAACGGGGCUCAAGCACGCCACCGAAGUUGUGGCAUUGACAUUAGUGGUAGGCCUUCGUGGUCCAGCCGUGUUGAUGGGUAGGAGAGCGUCGUGUGGCGAGUGAAGCGGCGGUGUGAACCAGCCGUGGAUGCUNNNNNNNNNNNNNNNNNNNNNNNNNNNNNNNNNNNNNNNNNNNNNNNNNNNNNNNNNNNNNNNNNNNNNNNNNNNNNNNNNNNNNNNNNNNNNNNNNNNCCCGUGCUGGUGCGUUUAGCGUAUUAACAGGUGUGACGCAGGAAGGUAGCCGAGCCGGGCGAUGGUUGUCCCGGUCUAAGGAUGUAGGGCGAACGAUAGGCAAAUCCGUCGUUCAUAUAGCCUGAGAUCUGAUGGGUAGACGCAAGUCGAAAUCGGUGAUCCUAUGCUGCCAAGAAAAGCAUCGACGCGAGGUUCUAGCUGCCCGUACCCCAAACCGACUCAGGUGGUCAGGUAGAGAAUACUAAGGAGAUCGAGAGAAUCGUGGUUAAGGAACUCGGCAAAAUGCCCCCGUAACUUCGGGAGAAGGGGGGCCUGAGGCGUGAACGGACUUGCUCCGGGAGCGUUCGAUGGCCGCAGAGACCAGUGGGAAGCGACUGUUUACUAAAAACACAGGUCCGUGCUAAGUCGCAAGACGAUGUAUACGGACUGACGCCUGCCCGGUGCUGGAAGGUUAAGAGGAACGGUUAGCCGCAAGGCGAAGCUGAGAAUUUAAGCCCCAGUAAACGGCGGUGGUAACUAUAACCAUCCUAAGGUAGCGAAAUUCCUUGUCGGGUAAGUUCCGACCUGCACGAAUGGCGUAACGACUUCCCAGCUGUCUCAACCGCGAACUCGGCGAAAUUGCAUUACGAGUAAAGAUGCUCGUUACGCGCAGCAGGACGGAAAGACCCCGUGACCUUUACUAUAGUUUGGUAUUGGUGUUCGGUGUGGCUUGUGUAGGAUAGGUGGGAGACGUUGAAGCGGGCACGCUAGUGUUCGUGGAGUCAUUGUUGAAAUACCACUCUGGUCACUCUGGAUAUCUAACUUCGGACCCUAAUCGGGUUCAGGGACAGUGCCUGAUGGGUAGUUUAACUGGGGCGGUUGCCUCCCAAAGAGUAACGGAGGCGCCCAAAGGUUCCCUCAACCUGGUUGGCAAUCAGGUGGCGAGUGUAAGUGCACAAGGGAGCUUGACUGUGAGACUGACAAGUCGAGCAGGGACGAAAGUCGGGACUAGUGAUCCGGCAGUGGCUUGUGGAAGCGCUGUCGCUCAACGGAUAAAAGGUACCUCGGGGAUAACAGGCUGAUCUUGCCCAAGAGUCCAUAUCGACGGCAUGGUUUGGCACCUCGAUGUCGGCUCGUCGCAUCCUGGGGCUGGAGUAGGUCCCAAGGGUUGGGCUGUUCGCCCAUUAAAGCGGUACGCGAGCUGGGUUUAGAACGUCGUGAGACAGUUCGGUCCCUAUCCGCUGCGCGCGCAGGAAAUUUGAGAAGAUCUAUCCCUAGUACGAGAGGACCGGGAUGGACGAACCUCUGGUGUGUCAGUUGUUCCGCCAGGAGCACCGCUGAUUAGCUACGUUCGGAACGGAUAACCGCUGAAAGCAUCUAAGCGGGAAGCCGGCUUCGAGAUGAGAUUUCCAUCCCUUCGGGGGAGAGGCUCCCAGCCAGACGACUGGGUUGAUAGGCCGGAUGUGGAAGACAGGACUAAAGACUGUCGGAGCUGACCGGUACUAAUAAGCCGAUAACUUGAUAA